CCAAGUCGUGUGCUCUGUGGAUAAGAGUAUUGUGCCAGUAGGGGGCAGUGUAACCAUGCGGUGUAAACAGAAGAUCUUUCAGCCAUCACUAUCAGCUCAGUGACCCUGGGGGAUCAGGGCUGUUUCCAGUGUAUAUUCAGUGUGUACUCACUGGGCUCCAUCAUGGGCAGCGUCUGCUUGAAUGUCACAGAUCCCAAGCUGGACAUAAACUAAUCAGAGGAAUAUCACAUUAUCUGCUGCUCAGUGACGGGGGAAACCUGCCCCCACAAUCACAUGGAACCUAACAGAGACCCCCGAACAGAAAGCUCAGAACUACAGUAUCAAUCACCCUGACCAGACAGUCACAGUCAUUAGCAACUUCACCCACAGCCCAGGAGGGAGGAUCCAUGUGACCUGUGUUGUACAUCACCCCUCUCUCAGCAGCGACAUUGUCCUCUCCAAGGCUGUAGCGGAUCCACGAUGUUGUGCACAGUGACUGGCAGACGCAAUUGAAGAGUGAAUGGCAGGAGGCACGGGCAGGAUCAGGUCUCAGACAAUUCUCCGCCAGUGAUCUGCCAUUAGGGCACUUCAUUUUCACUCUGUGUAAUGAGAAUUGCUGCUUGUGGCAAAAAAAUGUUCCAAGUGCCAAUCCCUAUAACCUUACAGCCUUUGCAAAAUAAAGGUGGAGGAAGUAAGAAAACCAGGGGAAUGGCAUAUAAUGAUUGGAAUGCAGAAGGGUGGUUCAAUACCAGACAAUAUCUGGGGAACCAGGGGGAGUUACAGGUAUUCUCUGUCAUAAUCGCCCAUUAAACGCCUUCUCCUCUCCAACCUGAAUGCACAAUGCAGUCUUUGUAUAUCUGUUUGUUUGCUAGGGUAAAAUGAACCUUAGCAACCAAAAUUGCACACUGGAGAGUUGCUGAAUAAAAUGU
Long non-coding RNA from Xenopus laevis (African clawed frog), 908 nucleotides. RefSeq lists it as uncharacterized. The record is from RefSeq and is a predicted model, not a curated record. The transcript is spliced from 3 exons. NCBI's taxonomy places the organism in Eukaryota, Metazoa, Chordata, Amphibia, Anura, Pipidae.